Long non-coding RNA from Sycon ciliatum, 1330 nucleotides. RefSeq lists it as uncharacterized. NCBI's taxonomy places the organism in Eukaryota, Metazoa, Porifera, Calcarea, Leucosolenida, Sycettidae. The transcript has 2 exons. The record is from RefSeq and is a predicted model, not a curated record.
UGUACUAGCAGGUUGCAAUCCGCUAUAAAAGACGAAACCUUGGCGGAGCCUGGAGAGCAACACUACCUGGACGAUGUCGGUGGCCGGUAUCUUCUGAUUUUUCGGAAAGAAAAGACGAAACCUUUCCCCGUAAACUGAGAAAGCUUAUCAAGGCUGGGUUGGUCCAAUAGUUGAUUAUACUGCAAGGAACUGAUUUGUUUCAAGUUGGUCGCCUCUGACAAUGGCGCUGAAGUCCUGUUGCGAAAUUCUGAUCGCUGUUGUUGUCGUCAACCUUGUCAUUGUUGCCAAUGCUGUGCCGUCUCCGAUCCUGGACGGGUUUGAUGGAAGCGAUGAGAUGCAGCAGCAACAACAGAACCACGAGCAGGCUCUGAGUGGUCGGACCCAGAGUCGCAGCAAGCGCUCGCUCAUCAACUUCUCCAGCAUGAUCAAGUGCGGUGUCCCGGGAGUCAACUCGCACGCCACUGUGACGGCCCUCUACGGGUCCUACGGCUGCUGGUGCGGCGUCGGCGGCAAGGGGAAGACAGUGGACGCCAUUGACAAGUGCUGCAACUAACCACGACAAGUGUUAUGGUCGUGUGAGCAGCUGCGGCCCCAAGGUCAUUCCCUACCUGUGGAAAUGCAAGAAGAGCAAACCGUCCUGCAUCAGGAAGGCGAAAUACUGGUAUGAGUACUUUGGUUACAACACAUCCUGCAUGAAGAAGGUGUGCGACUGCGACCGCGCCGCCGUGCUGUGCUUCAAGAAACACCAUUCGUCGUACAGCCUGGCUAACGUCAACAUUGGUCUGACCAAGUGCUAGCCCCUAACAUUCCUCUUCAUAAUCCUCUUGGCUAGCACUAGCAGGCACUGGGCUGCAGUAGAUUACAUACAAUAAUAUUAUGCAUAACUAAACAAUGCUACGGCGUGCAAGCUGACGUGCAUGCUCAGUACGACAGUAGUCGUCCGGCUUGUGCUAGUUUCAUGCUGAUCAUCCUUCUCUAUCAUUUCCGAGAUAUGCACGUGGAUAUUAUAGUGAAGACUACAUCCGGAAUCUCCAGUUACCCGUGUAUGAAAUUGAUAUUGUACUCGUUUUGUCGCCAGUCUCCUUCCUUCUUCCCCUUGGCCCGUCCUGCACACUCCCCCCCCCCCCUCGCUGCCUUCUGAAUUCAUCUCUGACUCUGUUAAUCUCUCAGGAGUCAGGUCACGUCCAAUGGCGAAGCAACAUUACCAAUUGUUUGGGAGGUUGCUUUUCGCAGUCCUGCGUCAAUUUUACACAGUGUUCUGUUGAUUCCAUCAUCGUCGAUCCUGAUCUACACACUUUCGUGUCGUGCAUUAACUUAAGUAAUUUCAUAA